AUCCCCGCACCACCAACGAACAAAGUGUAACCUAAUAACCCAAAUACAACUGAUGGUACACCAGCUAAAUUGGAAAUACUGAUUUUAACAAACUGAGUAAAUUUGUUGUUUUUCGCAUAUUCUUCUAAGUAUAUAGCUGUACCUA
RNAcentral lists this small RNA (145 nucleotides) under Staphylococcus aureus. RNAcentral describes it as "Transcript". Lineage: Bacteria; Bacillati; Bacillota; Bacilli; Caryophanales; Staphylococcaceae. The record is from RNAcentral.